ACCCGACUGCUAUCAGAGUGGGACUAAGCCAUGCGAGUCGACAUAGCAAUAUGUGGCAUACGGCUCAGUAACACGUAGUCAACAUGCCCAGGGGACGUGGAUAACCUCGGGAAACUGAGGAUAAACCGCGAUAGGUCAUCACUUCUGGAAUGGGUAAUGACUUAAACCUAUAUGGCCCCUGGAUUGGACUGCGGCCGAUCAGGCUGUUGGUGAGGUAAUGGCCCACCAAACCUGUAACCGGUACGGGCUCUGAGAGGAGGAGCCCGGAGAUGGGCACUGAGACAAGGGCCCAGGCCCUAUGGGGCGCAGCAGGCGCGAAACCUCUGCAAUAGGCGAAAGCUUGACAGGGUUACUCUGAGUGAUUUCCGUUAAGGAGAUCUUUUGGCACCUCUAAAAAUGGUGCAGAAUAAGGGGUGGGCAAGUCUGGUGUCAGCCGCCGCGGUAAUACCAGCACCCCGAGUGGUCGGGACGUUUAUUGGGCCUAAAGCAUCCGUAGCCGGUUCUACAAGUCUUCCGUUAAAUCCACCUGCUUAACAGAUGGGCUGCGGAAGAUACUAUAGAGCUAGGAGGCGGGAGAGGCAAGCGGUACUCGAUGGGUAGGGGUAAAAUCCGUUGAUCCAUUGAAGACCACCAGUGGCGAAGGCGGCUUGCCAGAACGCGCUCGACGGUGAGGGAUGAAAGCUGGGGGAGCAAACCGGAUUAGAUACCCGGGUAGUCCCAGCUGUAAACGAUGCAGACUCGGUGAUGAAUUGGCUUAUUGCUAAUUCAGUGCCGCAGGGAAGCCGUUAAGUUUGCCGCCUGGGGGGUACGGUCGCAAGACUGAAACUUAAAGGAAUUGGCGGGGGAGCACCACAAGGGGUGAAGCCUGCGGUUCAAUUGGAGUCAACGCCGGAAAUCUUACCGGGGGCGACAGCAGAGUGAAGGUCAAGCUGAAGACUUUACCAGACAAGCUGAGAGGAGGUGCAUGGCCGUCGCCAGCUCGUGCCGUGAGGUGUCCUGUUAAGUCAGGUAACGAGCGAGAUCCCUGCCUCUAGUUGCUACCAUUAUUCUCAGGAGUAGUGGAGCUAAUUAGAGGGACCGCCGUCGCUGAGACGGAGGAAGGUGGGGGCUACGGCAGGUCAGUAUGCCCCGAAACCCUCGGGCCACACGCGGGCUGCAAUGGUAAGGACAAUGAGUUUCGAUUCCGAAAGGAGGAGGCAAUCUCUAAACCUUACCACAGUUAUGAUUGAGGGCUGAAACUCGCCCUCAUGAAUAUGGAAUCCCUAGUAACCGCGUGUCACUAUCGCGCGGUGAAUACGUCCCUGCUCC
This 1308-nucleotide ribosomal RNA is filed under the name uncultured bacterium. Its description in RNAcentral is "bacterial SSU rRNA". It matches the Rfam family "Archaeal small subunit ribosomal RNA", at positions 21 to 1336 of the family's 1478-position model. The record is from RNAcentral.